GACGAACGCUGUCGGCGUGCCUAAUACAUGCAAGUUGAGCGCUGAAGGUUGGUACUUGUACCAACUGGAUGAGCAGCGAACGGGUGAGUAACGCGUGGGGAAUCUGCCUUUGAGCGGGGGACAACAUUUGGAAACGAAUGCUAAUACCGCAUAAAAACUUUAAACACAAGUUUUAAGUUUGAAAGAUGCAAUUGCAUCACUCAAAGAUGAUCCCGCGUUGUAUUAGCUAGUUGGUGAGGUAAAGGCUCACCAAGGCGAUGAUACAUAGCCGACCUGAGAGGGUGAUCGGCCACAUUGGGACUGAGACACGGCCCAAACUCCUACGGGAGGCAGCAGUAGGGAAUCUUCGGCAAUGGACGAAAGUCUGACCGAGCAACGCCGCGUGAGAGAAGAAGGUUUUCGGAUCGUAAAACUCUGUUGGUAGAGAAGAACGUUGGUGAGAGUGGAAAGCUCAUCAAGUGACGGUAACUACCCAGAAAGGGACGGCUAACUACGUG
This 497-nucleotide ribosomal RNA is filed under the name uncultured bacterium. RNAcentral's name for it is "partial 16S ribosomal RNA". It matches the Rfam family "Bacterial small subunit ribosomal RNA", at positions 28 to 507 of the family's 1533-position model. The record is from RNAcentral.